RNAcentral lists this transfer RNA (71 nucleotides) under Camelus ferus (Wild Bactrian camel). It matches the Rfam family "tRNA". From Rfam's summary of the family: Transfer RNA (tRNA) molecules are approximately 80 nucleotides in length. Lineage: Eukaryota; Metazoa; Chordata; Mammalia; Artiodactyla; Camelidae. The record is from Rfam by way of RNAcentral.
GAGGGUGUAGCUCAGUGGUAGAGCGCAUGCCUAGCAUACAUGAGGGCCUGGGUUCAGUCCCAGUACCUCCA